GACCGUGGAGGCCGGGUGCAGCCCCGUCGGCUCCGUGCUCUCCGCAGAAAAGGAUUUUCUAUGCCCCCCGCCCAUCACUUGGAUCUUGUCUGGGGAGGGAGGGGUGGGAUCUUUCUCUAGAAGUCCCCCCCCCACCCGCGGUGAAGGAUUUGAGGCUGGGCUCCAAUCGAGGCGGAGGCUGCAGGGCCCGCGGGCGCCCCCCGCCCCGCGCACGCCUCCCGGGAGCCCAGGAAGGCGCAGCCCCGGGGGGCCCCCCUGCGUCCCCGGAGGAGGCAGCGGCGUAUUCCUCGGGGUCCCUGGGCCAGCUGGGAAGACGGCAUCUCGGAGGUCCUCCAGCAACUAAAAGAAGAGAAAGACAUUCCCCUCAAAGUUCUCCCUGUACACACGUCCCCCCUUGCACUCACACAGGGCUCAUGACUGGUUCCUGCCCCAGCCACAGCCACGAAAAAGAAAAAGGCACCAUCAUAGACACUGGUUGCUAAUCGCGCUUUUUUGCCCUCCAGGGGCAGAGUGUUGGAGGUCAGGCCCGGGAAACGGCCGCUGUGGGGACUGUGCGCCGCCUUUAGGUGGGGGGAGGGGGGUGGAAAUGGGGGGAAAGGUAGAAAAGGAGCAAGUGUUACCAGUUUGACCAGGCGAGUGAGGCAACUCUCACCGUUCAGCCUGGUCCUUCCAGCCGGGCCUCUGGGAUCUUCACCUUGGCAAGGGGCCCUGGCCGGCCCUGGCGUUCUCCCCAUCCCAAUCCCUGAGCCAGGCCACGUUCCCAUUUUCUGCCUCAGUUUCCCUAUCUGCCACAGGAGGGGCCACCCUCCAGGCUCUGGCCUCGAAACGUUGGCGGUUGCCACCCACUGCUGUAGUGAGUUCGGGCUGUAUGAGCCCCGAAGGUGCUUUGAAAAUGGGGAUGUUAAAGCAUUCACCCGGGAAGGUGUUAUGGUAUUUCCUAACACAUGCCUUAUAGGCUGAGGUGACUCGGGGAGGGGAGAGCGCAGCCCCAUAGCGCGCACGUUUCUGGAAUCAGCCUGCUUGCGUCUGGGACUCCCGCUGUGUUACCCCAGGCAAAUGGCUCAACCUCUCUGAGCAGCCGUAUCCUUCCAUGUGAAACCCACACGUUAGAAUAGCCGCCUCCCAGGUCCGAUGCGCAGACCUACCCAGCGACUGGAAGUGGCACCCGGUUCCAAGUGCCGUUUACUCUCCUCGGUAUUUCCCUGUAUGGCGAGUUUCUGUUUGCAGCAAGCACUUGUUUUCAGUUGAGCGUAAGGGACAGAAGGACCCCUUUUCUGUACCAGCUUACGUAAGUGAAAGAGAGUACGUUGCUUGGAAGAAAAAUACUAAGCAAAGUACAGUAGAGGUGGCCUAAAGAUGGGGCAGAAGUUGAGAAGGUCGAGUUUCCUAGGCCCCCUUAAUUACACAUUCGUGUAUGUCUCACUGAUUUUUGGCACCCACAGAGCUGGAUUGCUAAGUCAAAUAUGUGGCGGCCUCCGCCCAUGGCAGCCUGGGUGUCACAGGUCCUCCCUUCUCAAAGCUGCCCCCCCCCCCCCGCCGAACACCCACACCAAUGACAUCUCCACCCCUACAUCACGCCCCCCCGUCCACCCACCGUAACUCAGAUCCAUCUCCCCAGAUCCGUUUCCCGUCAUAGGAUCGUCAGGACCCAGAGCCCUUCCUCCUCCCCAGGACACCUCUCCAGGCCUCGGUUUCUCAGUGGGUCGGGGAGAAGAAUAAACCGUGUCCCAGAUCAAGAAAGUCACAGGGCUCCAUCUGGCAGCUCCUGUGGUUCACAAAUGACACCAGUGGCCCUGGGACAGGCAGGGGCCAUAGCAGUGCCCUCAGCCCAGAGGGACACUCCUUCGACAGGCCACCCCGCACCAGGCCCGGGCACCAGCUCCCUGCCCAUCCUCCUGGGACGGUGGCUUUACAGGGAAACAGCAAGAGCUCGGUCGCAGCCAGCAGGGGCGGACUCUGGUUUCACUUUCUGCUGUGUCAUGGGGUGGGGGGUGGCAUCGGGGCCCAGCUGGCCAGCUGGGGCAGGCACCGAGAGCCUGGCGGACAGCUGCCGGCCCAGCUGCCUGAGCACAACCCAUGCCCCCGCACCGCACCGGCCAGGAUGGGGGCUGGGGGCCUUUUCCAUGCCUCUCUCCCACUCAGUGGGGAGAACCCCAGGUGGGAAAAGCCAGAAGCGAAUGAGAUGGUUUCUUUAGCUACAGGAUCUUCCGGAACAAAUUCUUAAGCCAUAUGGUCCUGAAGUUCUGAGAAUUGCAACUAUUGAUUCCAGAUCAGAAUGUCCGGCUAGACGCUUCCUGCCACCCUUCAUGAGCACUGGACUGUGGAGGGCCUGCUGUGUGCAGAGCACCAGGCCAGGGGCUCAGAGCCCAGCCGGGAGCAAGACAGCCCCUGCCCUCACGGGGCUCCACCUUGAAUCAGAAGACAGACGAAAGAGAAGGCAAAGAAAGAACCCCACAUUAGGAAAUUUCACACCCUAGGCUUGGUGUUAGCGUCUUGGCGAAGGGGCGUGCAUCUCUGCCUGUGCGUGUGUGCGCCCACGGGCAUGUCAGUCACUUGCUGACUCCUGGGACACACAGGUGGGUUAAGAACACAGACGAGGGGCCAGAUGUCCCGGAUUGAAUCCGGACAUCUUUGAAUCCAGAUUCUUCCAUUGACUGGUAUGUGACCUCGGGCAAGCUCUCUCUCCUCUCUGGGCUCUGCUGCCCCGUCCAGAGGUGCUAGAAUAAUAGAACCCACAUGGCAGGGCUGCGGUGAGGAGGUCAUAAACGCACGUCCCUAAAGAACUAAGGACACUGCCUGCCAUUGAUCAUGAGCUGCGUAAGGCAUAACCGUUAUCUAAGAGUAACAAACGGGGACUGUUGUCGUAGGCACUCGACAUACCUCAUGUACCUUUACAGCCGUAAGCAACCCUUCGAUGGGCCUUAACGGGUCCUUGUUCAGACGAGAAAACCGAGGUGCAGGGAGGCUCCCAGCUGGCAGGGUCUGACCCCAGGUUGUGAGCCUGGUCCUGGCUUUAGUGACCUGAUGUCAUCACCUGAACAUUUUUAGUAAUUUUGGCACAAGGGACCCAGGUUUUCAUUUUGCAAACUAGGGAGCCAGCCCUGCCCAGAUCUGAUUUAUGCCCCCAAAGCAGUCACUCUGAGCGCCUACCAUCCACAGAACCUACAGCCGGGUGCAGUGAUUUUCCAAUACAUCAGUGCAGGGUUCGGUAUGGGAUGGAAAUCCUGGGGACAACAGGAAGAUCAAUUCCAGGGCUGAACUGCUCUGAGACUUCUUGGUUUAUUUGUUGCCCCUCUGAGAAGUCAAGGGAGCAACAGCUAAGGCCAGCCACUGUCAUUCGUUCACGGGUGUAUUCCUAGGACCCAUCGCAUAUUAGCUGUUCAGUUAAUGUCUGUGAAGUGAAGCAAAUGAAUGGGGAGGCUGCUGUCCAUGCUGAUCCAAACCGAUUUAUCCCUGGCCGCACCCCCCCCCCCCCCGCCCCGACCUGCCAACACUCUGCAGCAGGGUGCUGUUGGAACAGCUUCUGCUGGGGAGCUCAGAGACAGCAUGGAUAUUUAGAGACAUAUGGGCCCAGAUUCCCUAGCACCUGUUAUUGGAGAAGAUGCAGACAGAGUUCAGUUAAAAAAAAAAAAUACUCAGGUUUUAGUUCUGGACAGGUGCAAAUUCCAGCCAGGGGUCAAGGGGGGCAAUGUCCUGGGCUACUAAAUGAGAAUCUUCCUCUGAAAUUAGAGGCCUUUCAUACUCUCACAGCUCCAAAUUAUAAAUACUAGUGAGAAGCAGAGAAUCAUCUCAAAAGCCUUUAAGAUAUUUCAUACAAUAAUAAACAUUUGUGUGUUUUCACAGGCAUGAUCUCCACUGCCUCUGAUAACCCCAUAAAGUCCUUUUCUAAAUAACACAACCAUUAGCAUAUACUGAGUGCUUUAUAUGUACUAGGCACUUAACGUGCAUGAAGUCAUUGCCCAAGCAACAUAAAAGGGAGACAUUGUUAGUGCCUUUCAGCUUGCUGAUGAGGAAGCACUUAGAGAAACUGACCUGUCCAAGGUCACACAGCUCUCCUGUGAUAAGCUGGGGAUCAAUCCUGGAUCUUGGAUCUCAGGGACCAGCAGACUUUCCCUCUAAAGGGCCAGAUACUAAAUAUUCUCAGCUUUGCAGGCCAUAUGGUGUGUGUCACAGCUACUCUACUCUGCCAUUAUAACAACAACAACAAAAAGAUCCAGACAGCACAGAAAUGAACGGAUGUGGCUGUGUGUUCCAAUAAAACUUCAUUUACAAAAACAAGACAUGGGCCGAAUUGGGCCCACAGGCUGUAAUUGGCCCAACCCUGUUCCAGGCUGAAAAACUUGCCUCUGGUUUGGCCCUGGCAAUGUUCUUUCCUGUCCUCUCUCUCCUCCCUGUGAAGUGACUAAGCUAUUUUAGGUGAGAGACCCCUAGCUCUGGAGACAUUGAAUUGGCCUCUCUAUUCUUGAGGAAAUUAUGAAGCUCUUGGAAUUUAUAACUAUUAGGAAUUAUUAGUGACUGCCAGAGUAGGACACCAUGGGGAUCUGAGACUUGUAAUUUUAAUAGCCGUGACUGAGUAACUUUUAAAGAGGAAAGGGUUAUAGUUUAGAAAGAUACCUCAGUGGGACACCUUGGCUGUGGAAGGAACGUCUCUUCAGAGAAGGCAGUUCUCUGAAGUCUGUGAGAAUGGAAAUAGAAUGAAAAACCUCUUAAGGCAUAAGAAGAUAACUGAAAGGCAGGAUAGUGGUUGUGUGUGUGUGUGUGUGCACGCGCGCACAUGUGCGCAGAGAGAGGGUAUGGGCGAGGGGGCAUUUCCCAAAAGGCUAUAUAAUUGCACAAUGAAAAUAUGGGGCCCUUUGUUCAAAAAGUAUUCAGAAGUUCAAGAUGGCAACGGCAGAGCAUUAAACCAAACGCAGGCCCUGUGCAACCGUACAUGUCACCUGCCCACGAGGCCCUCAGAAGGGUGCCCCAGCAGAACUAAUUCAUUAGACACAGGAAUGUAAGCCUUGGUGCCUAGGAGAGAUGUAAGCAUUCCUCACCCCCAAUCCCUGGAAGAUUUCCAAGAGAAGUUGGGUCUCCCCUGUGGGAGACCGUGGCACAAGGGACAGAGUUCAAGCCCAUUCCAUUUGAAUCUCCAAAGAUAAGAUGACCCCGGCUGACAUGUGGGUUAUAAGUUCUUAAAAAAAAAAAAAAAUUGGCUAUUUGCCUUAAGCCUUCCUCCCUGAGAGCCUGGAGUUGUUUUACUUGGCCGCACCAUUUUGUCCCGGACUCUGAGUGUCCUCUGAUCUCAAGGCAGAUGACGGGGCUGUGGUCUUCAGAACAGAGGCCCACUGGUCAGCAAACCAUCCAGCGGCAGGACUGCUGGGAUGCGUUUGUAAGGCAGGUGGUCAUGGCACACACUGGCAGCCCAUUGUGGCACCCAGUCCCUCUCGGCUCAGACAGAAUUCCAUUAGCCUUCUCAAGGACAGCCUCUACCAACCGAAGGAACCUUAUUUCCUGUGCUAAUCGAGUCUCAUCUCAAGAAUGUCUACUUUUUACUCAAGACACAAGAGAUUCAGAGCCCCCAGAGGGUGGGUGAUGCCCAGCGAUGCACUUCUAUUAAUAGAGCCUUGUCGUGGAGGGGUAUAUACAACACAACCGGGGAAGGGGUCCACAGAGGACACAGGGACUCCUUGAGGAAAGACCAGAUGAGAACUGGUACCUCCUCCUGUUGUCUGCGGCAAGUUCAGUGAGUGAAGAGAUGUUCGUUCACCGCUCAGUUGCUCCCCUACGCCACAGAAGGGGCAUGAACGGAGCAGAGGCAGCACAGCCCUCCACAAGAUAGGCGCAGUUCCCACCCUUAGCAGAAGCAGCAAUCGUCAGCCAAAGAUGAGAAAAAAAAAAAUUUUUUUUUUUUUAAAUUUGCUCCCAACAACCUAAUGACAGGAGCCAGAAAAGAACUACAACCGGUCUGAGUAAAUCCUGCGGGCAGCUUGGGGUUUGGGAGACGGUACAGCGGGAUCUUAAAGCGUCAGACUCGAGAUCGAGAUAAUUCUCUGCCAAGUAAAUGUAGAAGCACAGCCAGAAGAUGACUCUGGAGGUGUUAGAUGGCUCUGGGUUUUUUGUUAUUUGUGGGGUUUUCUUGCAAGCACCUGCUCUCCAUUCCCCCCCACCCCCACUUCCGCUAAAACACCUGACACUGGCGGGAACACAGCCAAAGCUGGCCGCUCGCCACACCCAUCCUUCCACCACGUGGUCCAAACAUGGACACGUGACAAACAGGACCAGGCACAGAAGCCCACUUCCAGGCCGGACCACAGUAAUUGGUCCAAGUGUGGUCAUGUGACCCAAGCACGGCCAAUCGGGGCUUGUCCCUCCUGGAGCGGGCGGGAAGUGUGCUUUAGCUCGGCUCUCUAGCAUCUGGAGGUACCCGUGGCCCCAGAGACUGAGGUCCACAAGCCGAGAGGGAGAGGCGGGAGAUGGGAUCGGGGUGAGGAGGAUGGAGAGAGGCUGGCGCCAAGUUCUGACCCCAUAGCCUUACAGGUGCCGGAUGCAGGAGCUGCUCAGCCCUCCCUGCCCAUCACAGCUACCGGAGUGAUGAUUCUGCCAUAUUCCCUCAGUCAGAUGGACCCUGGUUUCUGUGCGGCGCAGCAAACCCCAGUUUAGGACGGGGACCGUGUCCUCUUCGUGAGCUCUGUGAAACUAAAAGGAUUUCAGAUAAACCUGCCAGUAAUUUUAGCGAGUGAGCCAUGGAGCCCAUAAAGGCCAGAAGAUAGAAAACACUCCGGGUUUGAUAAAAGGAGUUCUGCACGGCUCGGAAUCCUCCCUCCUCUAGUCCCACCGAGAUCUGUCCUGAGAGGGUCUGAUGGAUGGAGGAAAAAGAAAUGAGACGACGUGAGUCUCCUUUCAAGGGCUGUGCUCAUAUAAAACUGAACAAUUUGAAAUUGUUCCAAGAGGGGAUUAAAGCAACAUGUUAUUUUGA
Lutra lutra (Eurasian river otter) is the source of this 6958-nucleotide long non-coding RNA. RefSeq lists it as uncharacterized. The transcript has 3 exons. Lineage: Eukaryota; Metazoa; Chordata; Mammalia; Carnivora; Mustelidae. The record is from RefSeq and is a predicted model, not a curated record.